AUUGAACGCUGGCGGCGUGCUUAACACAUGCAAGUCGAGCGGUAACAGGCGUAGCAAUACGUGCUGACGAGCGGCGAACGGGUGCGUAAUACAUGGGAAUCUGCCCUUUGGUGGGGAAUAACCCGGCGAAAGCCGGGCUAAUGCCGCAUAAGAUCUUCGGAUGAAAGCGGGGGAUCGUAAGACCUCGCGCCGAUGGAUGAGCCCAUGUCGGAUUAGCUAGUUGGUGAGGUAACGGCUCACCAAGGCGACGAUCCGUAGCUGGUCUGAGAGGACGGCCAGCCACACUGGGACUGAGACACGGCCCAGACUCCUACGGGAGGCAGCAGUGGGGAAUAUUGGACAAUGGGGGAAACCCUGAUCCAGCGACGCCGCGUGUGUGAAGAAGGCCUGCGGGUUGUAAAGCACUUUCGAUGGGAACGAAAUGUGCCGGGCUAAUACCCCGGCGUAAUGACGGUACCGUAAGAAUAAGCACCGGCUAACUACGUGCCAGCCGCCGCCGUAA
This 502-nucleotide ribosomal RNA is filed under the name uncultured bacterium. Its description in RNAcentral is "partial 16S ribosomal RNA". It matches the Rfam family "Bacterial small subunit ribosomal RNA", at positions 29 to 523 of the family's 1533-position model. The record is from RNAcentral.